This 485-nucleotide ribosomal RNA is filed under the name uncultured bacterium. RNAcentral's name for it is "partial 16S ribosomal RNA". It matches the Rfam family "Bacterial small subunit ribosomal RNA", at positions 29 to 507 of the family's 1533-position model. The record is from RNAcentral.
AGUGAACGCUGGCGGCAUGCCUUACACAUGCAAGUCGAACGGCAGCACGGUUACUGGCUGCUGUUAGCGAGUGGGGGACGCGGGAGGAAUACAUCUGCACCUGUCCUGUCGUUGUGGAUAGCGCGGCCAAAGCCGAAUUUAUACCACAAACGAAUCCCGGCUGCAAGCGGAGACCUUCGGGCUUCGCGCCUUACGGUUGUGCGAUGGCCGAUUAGCUAGUUGGUGGGGUAAAGGCCCACCAAGGCGACGAUCAGUAGCUGGUCUGAGAGGACGAUCAGCCACACUGGGACUGAGACACGGCCCAGACUCCUACGGGAGGCAGCAGUGGGGAAUUUUGGACAAUGGGCGAAAGCCUGAUCCAGCAAUGCCGCGUGGGUGAAGAAGGACUUCGGGUUGUAAAGCACUUUUGUUCGGAAAGAAAUGCAGCACGCUAAUACAGCCGGGGGAUGACGGUACCGAAAGAAUAAGCACCGGCUAACUACGUG